UACGUAGGGGGCAAGCGUUGUCCGGAUUUAUUGGGCGUAAAGAGCGUGUAGGCGGUUUGGUAGGUCCGUUGUGAAAACUCGAGGCUCAACCUCGAGACGCCGAUGGAAACCAUCAGACUAGAGUCCGGAAGAGGAGAGUGGAACUCCUGGUGUAGCGGUGAAAUGCGCAGAUAUCAGGAAGAACACCCGUGGCUAAGGCGGCUCUCUAGUACGGUACUGACGCUGAGACGCGAAAGCGUGGGGAGCGAACAGG
Molecule: ribosomal RNA, 253 nt
Filed under: uncultured bacterium
Lineage: Bacteria
Description: partial 16S ribosomal RNA
Rfam family: Bacterial small subunit ribosomal RNA
Source: RNAcentral